AACGUAGGGCCCGAGCGUUGUCCGGAAUCACUGGGUGUAAAGGGUGCGUAGGCGGGCGUGCGCGUCUGGGGUGAAAGGCUCCGGCUCAACCGGAGACAUGCCCUGGGUACGGCACGUCUUGGGUGCGGGAGAGGGCGAUGGAAUUCCUGGUGUAGCGGUGAAAUGCGUAGAUAUCAGGAGGAACACCAGUGGCGAAGGCGGUCGCCUGGCCCGCAACCGACGCUGAGGCACGAAAGCGUGGGGAGCAAACCGG
RNAcentral lists this ribosomal RNA (253 nucleotides) under uncultured bacterium. RNAcentral's name for it is "partial 16S ribosomal RNA". It matches the Rfam family "Bacterial small subunit ribosomal RNA", at positions 524 to 776 of the family's 1533-position model. The record is from RNAcentral.